GGCCUUGUACACACCGCCCGUCACACCAUGGGAGUGGGAUGCAAAAGAAGUAGUUAGUCUAACCUUCGGGAGGACGAUUACCACUUUGUGUUUCAUGACUGGGGUGAAGUCGUAACAAGGUAACCCUAGGGGAACCUGGGGUUGGAUCACCUCCUU
This 156-nucleotide ribosomal RNA is filed under the name Pseudo-nitzschia fraudulenta. RNAcentral's name for it is "partial Bacterial small subunit ribosomal RNA". It matches the Rfam family "Bacterial small subunit ribosomal RNA", at positions 1377 to 1532 of the family's 1533-position model. Lineage: Eukaryota; Bacillariophyta; Bacillariophyceae; Bacillariales; Bacillariaceae. The record is from RNAcentral.